RNAcentral lists this transfer RNA (72 nucleotides) under Fusarium fujikuroi. RNAcentral describes it as "transfer RNA-Asp(GTC)". It matches the Rfam family "tRNA". Rfam says of the family: Transfer RNA (tRNA) molecules are approximately 80 nucleotides in length. Lineage: Eukaryota; Fungi; Ascomycota; Sordariomycetes; Hypocreales; Nectriaceae. The record is from RNAcentral.
UCUUUCGUAGUAUAGUGGUCAGUAUGCAAGCUUGUCACGCUUGAGACCCGGGUUCAAUUCCCGGCGGGAGAG